Molecule: ribosomal RNA, 473 nt
Filed under: uncultured organism
Description: partial 16S ribosomal RNA
Rfam family: Bacterial small subunit ribosomal RNA
Source: RNAcentral
UACACUCCUACGGGAGGCAGCAGUGGGGAAUAUUGCACAAUGGGCGCAAGCCUGCUGCAGCCAUGCCGCGUGUAUGAAGAAGGCCUUCGGGUUGUAAAGUACUUUCAGCGGGGAGGAAGGCAAUACGGUUAAUAACCGUGUUGAUUGACGUUACCCGCAGAAGAAGCACCGGCUAACUCCGUGCCAGCAGCCGCGGUAAUACGGAGGGUGCAAGCGUUAAUCGGAAUUACUGGGCGUAAAGCGCACGCAGGCGGUCUGUCAAGUCGGAUGUGAAAUCCCCGGGCUCAACCUGGGAACUGCAUUCGAAACUGGCAGGCUUGAGUCUUGUAGAGGGGGGUAGAAUUCCAGGUGUAGCGGUGAAAUGCGUAGAGAUCUGGAGGAAUACCGGUGGCGAAGGCGGCCCCCUGGACAAAGACUGACGCUCAGGUGCGAAAGCGUGGGGAGCAAACAGGAUUAGAUACCCUUGUAGUCCC